CUCUGGGAGUUGGUGAUGGACAGGGAGGCCUGGGGUGCUGCAGUCCAUGGGGUUGCAAAGAGUCGGACACGACUGAGCGACUGAACUGAACUGAACUGAGUGAUCCAACAGUUUCGGCAGAAAUACAGGAAAAGUUAACAGAGAAGCAAACAGAUAAGAAACAUGGAUAAUUAGGCCCAAGAAGCCGUCCUGUUCACCUGAAAUUAGUGGUUUGUGCCCAAACUUCCUAGUCCAGUGAUUGGAGCUUGGAGCCUCUGAGUACUUGAGCUCAGUGUCGGACUCUUUGCGACUCCAUGGACUGUAGCCUGCCAGGCUCCUUUGUCCAUGGGGUUCUCCAGACAGAAUUACUGGAGUGGGUUGCCGUUCCCUUCUCCAGGGGAUCUUCCUGACCCAGGGAUCAAACCCGGGUCUCCUGUGUCUCCUGCACCGCUGGUGGAUUCUUUACCCUCUGCAUCAGCUGGGAAGCCUGGGGCCUCUGGCAGAGGCUAAUGGACAAAGAUUUGGAUGCCUCAGUGUGGAGGAGGGACAGAAACGGAGUGUAGGAGGAGCUGACACCUCCAGGUCGUGGCUGCAGGCCUGGCCACUGGGGCCCCUCGAUGCAGAAGGACCCUUUGUGCAGAUUCCUCCUCCUUCUCGCCCAGGAGCUGGCAUCUCAGCUCCACCUCAGCUUCGACCUUGCUCUCCGCUCCUGUGGUUUUUCAGGGAACCAAGCCCUCUGGUGGAUGCCUUUCUGGGGAAAAGAAGAAAGAGAGAGGCUGACGGAGGCAGAGCCACUGAAAGGUCUGCCGGGCUGUGCAGGCCCUGCCCACUUCCUUUCUCUUGCAGUGAGUUUCGUCCACACGGUGUCAGAAGGGCCGUGAGUGGCGGUGGCGAGGGGCCAGUCACCUCCCCAGCCCUGGCUCAGGCUCCUGAUGCCCAACCUUUGUGUGUACUGAGUGGGCUGGCUGGACGCUCAGGUCUUUAUCAGUUGUGACCACACCCUCCUGUAAGGUCCCGGGGAGAAAGCAGAACCAAACCCUGGGAAAGAUCAACAGCCACGCUUUUUGGUUCUUCCAGGUGCAGCCCUUCCAACCUGAGGUCGUAGAGGAACUGAGGCAGCAGAGGGCGGGGCGGGAAUCCCAUGGGUCCAGGGUCACCGCACCCAUAUCCAGAAGUGAAUUCUUCUGUUUAUUUCUGUCCACGGGACCGAACAGCCACUGACAUCCACCGGACCAGCAUCACCCAGGGGAGCUGGCCUUCGUCCUGGCCUCUCCUGGCCUCAGAGGAAUCCAGAUCACAGUCGGCAGGGUUAGAUUGCUCAGGCCAACCGCUCCCUUCAGAGAUACACAAACUAGGGCUUGUGGAAUCUCAGGGCGAAUACAGAACACGCUGGCAGCCAGAUCACCUGACCUCCCCCCGCCCCAGGGUGGGGGUUGUCUGACCACCCCAUCACCUGACCUCAGGUCACCACCCUCCCCUGCAGUGUGGUUCUCUACUGCGUAACAUAAUAUAAUCACGGAGUAACUCCUGAGGACAGGGGCAGAGAUCACGUGGCCGCCUGAGAAUUCUGCCUUCAACAGGGCUGGAGGCUCCCGUCCCCCUCACCUGGCCAGACCCCCAGGCCAGCUCCUGGGAGGAAGUGUCCUUCUCAGCUCUUGACUGCCCCUAAUUACUCAGCGAGGUUGGACCAGACCUCCCAAUACAUCAAUUAGAACAGGGUGGUGGACAGGCCGGUGGGUGGAUGGCUUUUGUCUCCCAGAGGCGAGUUCCCUUCCACCCAGCUGGCCCAGACCCGCGUGUCUCAGCCGGUGGUUUCGGCGUCCACGCCCAGAGUGCAGAGAUGCCCGUGGGACGCCAGGAGGGAAGAUGUUCCAACACUUGACAGUCCUAGCGGUGGUGCCCUUCCAGCCAGGCUCCCCCGGCACCCCAUUCUGUUCUAUUAUUUUAUUUGGCCAUGUCAGGUGGCUUGUGGGAUCUCAGGUUGCUGACGAGGUAUUGAACCUGGACCACUGCAGUGAAAGCCCAGAAUCGUAGGAACCAGGGAACUACCCACACCCACUGUACACACACACUUUCAUUUUGCAUUUCUACCUGGGUCCCUCAAACUUUACUACGCCUUAACUUUAAUAAAUAUUUAUUGAGAGCAAGCUCAGUGUACUGGCAUAGGGGCUGGAGGCUAGGGGUCAGGACCCUUGCCUCCAGAAGACUGAAAGGCAGAGAAAUAUAAGCUCAAAACCAGUGGCUUCCUGUCCAGGUUCUGAAACGUACUGGCCCUACGACUUCGGCCCUAUGACUUCCUCGUUUGCUUGCCUGAAAAACGGGUGAUACUCAUGGGUUGUUGUUGAGACACUAAAUAUACAGAUGGAUCAUGGCCAGAGCUUCUAUAAAAAUAGAUCUCUGACCUGCAAUCAGCGGCAACCAUGCCAGGAAGCCGGCCUGCUAGCCGUAAGUCAGACUUGUAGGAAAUCAGACCGCUAUCCCGGACAAGUGGUCCAGAAAGUCAAACAGUUA
Molecule: long non-coding RNA, 2490 nt
Organism: Bubalus bubalis (water buffalo)
Lineage: Eukaryota; Metazoa; Chordata; Mammalia; Artiodactyla; Bovidae
Exons: 3
Source: RefSeq, a predicted model, not a curated record